Molecule: non-coding RNA, 75 nt
Organism: Branchiostoma belcheri (Belcher's lancelet)
Lineage: Eukaryota; Metazoa; Chordata; Leptocardii; Amphioxiformes; Branchiostomatidae
Source: the annotation of a RefSeq genome assembly
GGUCGUGUGGCGCAAUCGGUAGCGCGUUCGGCUCACACCCCAGAGGUCGUGGGUUCGAACCCCACCUUGUCACCG